RNAcentral lists this long non-coding RNA (1262 nucleotides) under Zalophus californianus (California sea lion). RNAcentral describes it as "lncRNA (ENSZCAG00015004412.1)". The record is from RNAcentral. Lineage: Eukaryota; Metazoa; Chordata; Mammalia; Carnivora; Otariidae.
UAAGGGACUAUACUUCUCCAUACUAUAAUGAAAGUGGAAUAGGAAUGCAGUUCUCAAGGUCUCCACUUACUCCUUUUUUUUUUUUUUUUUUUGUAGGGAGAGCAUGGAAGUGGAGAGAGGGAGAGGGAGAGAAUCUUAAGCAGGCUCCACGCUCAGCAUGGAGCCCAACACACGGCUUGAUCUCAAAACCCUAAGAUCAUGACCUGAGCUGAAAUCAAGAGUUGGACGCUCAACCAACUGAGCCACCCAGGCACCCCUACACUUACUCUGCUUGCCUACAGGAUAAAAUAAAAUAAAAUCAGAACCUGAGCCAGAAUGUUCUAGAGUUCCUUACCUUAAAAGCCACUGAAAAACAGGAUGCAUGUGUUUGAGGCUUAUUAUUUGGGCUGGCAUAUGAUUUAUCUUGCCAAACAUGGCACUCUUACCCCACAACAGGCUUAACUGUCCUGGGUAAACCAGGGUCGUGUAUUCACUCUACUAACAAUGGUGGUGGCAGUGGGGUGUAAUUUCCCAGAGUUGAGUGCUUGGCACAUUUCAUUCCUCAAGCUAAUAUGUAAUAGAGUCCCAUUGUAGGUGCUGUGAGAGAAAUAGAUACACAUCUUCUACCCUCAAGGAGUUUACAGGGUUGAGAAAGAGAUGGCUAUUACUGAGUCAAAACAAUACUGAAACAAUACUGCUCAGACCAAGGAACAAAAAAGAAGUUUAGUAAGUGGUUCCUAUGGAGACACUGAUGCUUGAUCUACGCAGUUACCUCCGCGUUCAAUUACUGAUGGUCUGUCGCAACUUGACAGAACUGAGAGGGGGUAACAUGCCCAGGAGCCAAGUAGGAGCCCAUUUGGAAGAGGAAAAAACCUCAGUCUGCUCAGGAGCCUGAGCCACUCCCUCAAGCCAAAGGUCAGAAACAAAGCAGAUUUGGGAGGCUACAAUCAAGGUCAUUUGAGAAGUAAGACCCGGUGUCUUACCCUUACCUAUGGGUGUCCACAUAGAAAUUUAUAGACAUGGGAAAGGCUAGAUAAUGAGAAUGCUCCAUAAAGAGGCACCGUACUUCACCAGGGAGAAAGGCAUCCAAGUUGCUUCACAAAUGUUAAGAAAUAUGCCUAUUUAAUUGUAUGUUGCAUUUUCCCUGGUCUUUGUUUUAUUCAUUUCAUGUGCAGUGAUUAAAAAGAUAUAUUGUACAUUUUAUUAUCUCUUAUGUUUUCCAAUAAAUACAAACCUGGCAUACUUUUUUUCUCAAAUUCUUCUCGGAGGUGUGGUGAACAUCG